UUUAGGGAGACCUAACCAAUUGAAGUCCGAAAUAAUUCUAAAUUAGGACUCAAAUCAGGUAAUCCUAGGUCGUGCGAGGGAAAUAAUUAGAAGCUUUCAAACUUAAGUUCGGUUCGGUUUUGGGCUAUUAGCUCAGGUGGUUAGAGCGCACCCCUGAUAAGGGUGAGGUCCCUGGUUCGAGUCCAGGAUGGCCCACCUAAACCAAUAAUCAAGUGUCAAGUCAGAACUUGGAAAUAAUCAAUUAUUUCAAGUUUCAUUCUUGAGCCUUUUGGAUGGGGGUAUAGCUCAGUUGGUAGAGCGCUGCCUUUGCAAGGCAGAUGUCAGCGGUUCGAGUCCGCUUACCUCCAUGAGGUCAAGCAGCCUCAAGAGGCAAGACCCAAAAACCACUGAUUAAAAUAAUCGAACUAAUCUCUCUUGAUAUUUGAGGCGAGAAGUUAGCACCUGAACUUGAAUUAAAAGACAAGUCAGACUGCUGAACGGACUCGUUCAGUCAGAACCUUGAAAACUGCAUAGCAAUAGGAAAAAAACCAAGUCGGUAAGUCAGGCUUACGCCCAAGGGCGCUAGCCAUCUUAUUUAGACUGAGUAACAAAGAAAAAGUU
RNAcentral lists this transfer RNA (600 nucleotides) under Oscillatoriales cyanobacterium HA4819-PD1. RNAcentral's name for it is "16S-23S ribosomal RNA intergenic spacer". The stretch from base 275 to 347 matches the Rfam family "tRNA". Lineage: Bacteria; Bacillati; Cyanobacteriota; Cyanophyceae; Oscillatoriales. The record is from RNAcentral.